Ribosomal RNA from Vulpes vulpes (red fox), 100 nucleotides. Lineage: Eukaryota; Metazoa; Chordata; Mammalia; Carnivora; Canidae. The record is from Ensembl.
CUCUACAGCCAUAUCACCCUGAACAUGCCCAAUCUUGUCUGAUCUCAGAAGCAGAGCAGGGUCAGGCCUGGUUAGUACUUGGAUAGGAGAAGUGUUGAAU